RNAcentral lists this ribosomal RNA (497 nucleotides) under uncultured bacterium. Its description in RNAcentral is "partial 16S ribosomal RNA". It matches the Rfam family "Bacterial small subunit ribosomal RNA", at positions 28 to 507 of the family's 1533-position model. The record is from RNAcentral.
GAUGAACGCUGGCGGCGUGCCUAAUACAUGCAAGUCGAGCGAACAGACGAGGAGCUUGCUCCUCUGACGUUAGCGGCGGACGGGUGAGUAACACGUGGAUAACCUAUCUAUAAGACUGGGAUAACUUCGGGACACCGGAGCUAAUACCGGAUAAUAUAUUGAACCGCCUGGUUCAAUAGUGAAAGACGGUUUUGCUGUCACUUAUAGAUGGAUCCGCGCCGCAUUAGCUAGUUGGUAAGGUAACGGCUUAACAAGGCAACGAUGCGUAGCCGACCUGAGAGUGUGAGCGGCCACACUGGAACUGAGAAACGGUCCAGACGCCUACGGUAGGCAGCAGUAGGGAAUCUUCCGCAAUUGGCGAAAGCCUGACGGAGCAACGCCGCGUGAGUGAUGAAGGUCUUCGGAUCUUAAAACUCUGUUAUUAGGGAAGAACAAAUGUGUAAGUAACUAUGCACGUCUUGACGGUACCUAAUCAGAAAGCCACGGCUAACUACGUG